RNAcentral lists this transfer RNA (2103 nucleotides) under Cervus hanglu yarkandensis (Yarkand deer). RNAcentral describes it as "lncRNA (ENSCHYG00000001361.1)". The stretch from base 814 to 885 matches the Rfam family "tRNA". The record is from RNAcentral. Lineage: Eukaryota; Metazoa; Chordata; Mammalia; Artiodactyla; Cervidae.
AAAAGGAUCACUGUGUAUCACACUUUUAAAUUCCAAAACACAAAUAAUGAAACAAGAUGCUAUGCUGAGACUCAGCGUGCCAGUCUCCCUGGUCUGGCAACUUCGAACUCAGGAAGAGGCCCCGUGGAAAGAGGAUUAGUUUAUACGGACCUUCCUGCUCUCUAAAAUCACCUUUGUUUAGCUGUAAUACCCUAGGGGCAAAAGCUGCGCCCAACGUGGGGCUCGAACCCACGACCCUGAGAUUAAGAGUCUCAUGCUCUACCGACUGAGCUAGCCGGGCUGAUGCAAAGAGGAAACUACAAUUCUCCUGAACUUCGCUGAACCUAAAACUGGUAGGCACACGCUCUGAAUCCCGCGCACACCGUCUCCCUCGGUUAGGGUGUGGGAGGUGCCGGGUUCCAAUCACAGACGAUUUCUCAUUUUCAAACUCUCAACCCCUUUCAGGAGAGGUAGCAUUAAGCCGAUCAGGAAGGCUUGAUGGCCUCGCCGCCGGGACAAGCCGGGAGACCUUCCCUCCCUGGAGGGUGGGGGUGGGGUGGGGGGAUGUGGACCCCUUGCUUGUGCAAAAAUUUGGAGCAGCUGCCCUUCCGGGAGAAGUGAGCACCACCCCCCAGUUCGGACCCCUACAUCAGGUUACAGAUUCGUGAGGGUUUCCUGCAGCCGAGCCCAGACCAGGAAGGACCCGGAGAAGCUCGAGGGUCACCCGGGACCGGCCGGCUGGGAGGAUCUGGCUGCGAUUCUCAGCCCGGGAUCCGAAGGCGGAGCCGCGGUCUCAGGCCUCCAAGGACAGACACCAGAAAUCGCUACAGCACCGGCUCGUUGGUCUAGGGGUAUGAUUCUCGCUUUGGGUGCGAGAGGUCCCGGGUUCAAAUCCCGGACGAGCCCAGUUUUGUUUUUUUUUGUUUUUUUUUCCGCCCCCUCAGACAUCGGCUAGUUUUCGGUUUGAAGACUCCGGAUCUCUGCGGAGUCCUGAGCAACGGAAUCGUUCCCGCCGGCCGCGAUCCGAUCGUCCGCGCUCGGUUCUGUUCUGCCAAGCGGCCGUCACUGCGCUGGGUCGCAGCAGGGGCGGCGGCCCUCGAGCCCUGGGCCUGGCCCUGGGGGAGGAGACCGAGGUGGCUCAGUCUCGGCUCUCGGGAGGCCAGACGGCCACUGGGCUGGGUGAUGAUCGGCCUGGGCGAUGAUGUGACUUGCUGCGUGUGUUUAUACUCUGGGUAAUAAACUCAAAUUUUAUGACCCAAGUAAAGGACAAGCCCACGUUUCAAUGUCUUUCCUAUUUGAGGGGCUGCCCAAAGGGUCUUCCACGACCCAGGGAAGGAAGGAAAGGCAGAGGAGACUGCGCGUGGGGCCGCAGACCACUAGUCUCCACGGGGUCCAGGGGGCCGUGCUCCAGACACGGGGUCUCCUCUCCCCCUAGAAGAACCGCGGUGUUUUCAUAGGUUUUAUUAUUAUUUUCUGAGGCCAACUGGUCCAGCCACUGAGAAGGCUUAUUACAGUUUCCAAGAGGAGGUGGCACGGCUCCGCGUGGGGAGGAGGGACGGGACGCACCAGCGUCGGAAGGGAGAAGAAAAUGAAGGCAAGAGACUUUCUCGUGGUUUCAGGGAAGGUGAAACAGGGAAGGCAGGGAAGACAGGCCGAAAUGGCUGGCUGAAAUAAGUUCAGUGGGCUCGGGGGUACAGGUGCUGUCCCUGGUUGUCUGUCUCCUGGCCUUGAGGUGAUUCUGCAGGUGGAUUGUGGCCCAGAGGGUGAGAGUUUGAUAAAAACAGGUGAUCGUCGGCUGUGGACCCUGGAUUGGUUGGUUUAUCUUUGAAAAAUGCCUGCUGACAGAGAAAUUGCUUGCUAUCUCGAACAAUUGACCAGAUCCAUGGGUCUGGAAGACCCCCUGGAGUAGGAAAUGGGAACCCACUCCAAUAUUCUUGCCUGGAAAAUUUCCAUGGGCAGAGGAGCCUGGCGAACUACAGUCCAUGCGGUCGCAAAGAGUCUGACAGGACUGCAAAACCGAGCACCAUUGACCAGGAGGAAGGUUCAAGAGGGAGGGGACAUAUUCACUUACGGCCGAUUCACGUUGAUGAAUGGCAGAAACCAACACAAUACUGUAAAUCAAUU